GACGAACGCUGGCGGCGUGCUUAACACAUGCAAGUCGAACGGAAAGGCCCUCCUGUGGGGUACUGGUGGGGUGACCAGGUGGGUAAUACCACAGUAAUAUCCCCCCCUUUUUGGGAUAAUUUCUGGAAACAGGGGCUACUAAUACCUAGGAGCAGCUCCUGCUUGGUGGUGGUUGGUGGGUAUUUUCGGCGGUUGGGGAUGGACUCGCGGCUUAUCAGCUUGUUGGUGGGGUAGUGGCUUACCAAGGCUUUGACGGGUAGCCGGCCUGAGAGGGUGACCGGCCACAUUGGGACUGAGAUACGGCCCAGACUCCUACGGGAGGCAGCAGUGGGGAAUAUUGCACAAUGGGCGGAAGCCUGAUGCAGCAACGCCGCGUGCGGGAUGACGGCCUUCGGGUUGUAAACCGCUUUCGCCUGUGACGAAGCGUGAGUGACGGUAAUGGGUAAAGAAGCACCGGCUAACUACGUG
RNAcentral lists this ribosomal RNA (468 nucleotides) under uncultured bacterium. RNAcentral's name for it is "partial 16S ribosomal RNA". It matches the Rfam family "Bacterial small subunit ribosomal RNA", at positions 28 to 507 of the family's 1533-position model. The record is from RNAcentral.